GCUUAGGAAUCUGCCUAUUAGUGGGGGACAACAUUCCGAAAGGAAUGCUAAUACCGCAACGCCCUACGGGGGAAAGCAGGGGAUCUUCGGACCUUGCGCUAAUAGAUGAGCCUAAGUCAGAUUAGCUAGUUGGUGGGGUAAAGGCCUACCAAGGCGACGAUCUGUAGCGGGUCUGAGAGGAUGAUCCGCCACACUGGGACUGAGACACGGCCCAGACUCCUACGGGAGGCAGCAGUGGGGAAUAUUGGACAAUGGGCGAAAGCCUGAUCCAGCCAUGCCGCGUGUGUGAAGAAGGCCUUUUGGUUGUAAAGCACUUUAAGCGAGGAGGAGGCUACUUGGAUUAAUACUCUAGGAUAGUGGACGUUACUCGCAGAAUAAGCACCGGCUAACUCUGUGCCAGCAGCCGCGGUAAUACAGAGGGUGCGAGCGUUAAUCGGAUUUACUGGGCGUAAAGCGUGCGUAGGCGGCUUUUUAAGUCGGAUGUGAAAUCCCUGAGCUUAACUUAGGAAUUGCAUUCGAUACUGGGAAGCUAGAGUAUGGGAGAGGAUGGUAGAAUUCCAGGUGUAGCGGUGAAAUGCGUAGAGAUCUGGAGGAAUACCGAUGGCGAAGCAGCCAUCUCGCCUAAUACUGACGCUGAGGUACGAAAGCAUGGGGAGCAAACAGGAUUAGAUACCCUGGUAGUCCAUGCCGUAAACGAUGUCUACUAGCCGUUGGGGCCUUUGAGGCUUUAGUGGCGC
Molecule: ribosomal RNA, 737 nt
Filed under: Acinetobacter johnsonii
Lineage: Bacteria; Pseudomonadati; Pseudomonadota; Gammaproteobacteria; Moraxellales; Moraxellaceae
Description: bacterial SSU rRNA
Rfam family: Bacterial small subunit ribosomal RNA
Source: RNAcentral